Molecule: transfer RNA, 86 nt
Filed under: Phialocephala subalpina
Lineage: Eukaryota; Fungi; Ascomycota; Leotiomycetes; Helotiales; Mollisiaceae
Rfam family: tRNA
About the family: Transfer RNA (tRNA) molecules are approximately 80 nucleotides in length. Their secondary structure includes four short double-helical elements and three loops (D, anti-codon, and T loops).
Source: Rfam by way of RNAcentral
GGCUUGAUAGUUCAGUGGCAGAAUUCAUGCUUUGGGUUAUUCAACUUAAAUGUAUGAGGUCCUGGGUUCAAUCCCCAGUCAAGCCC